This 66-nucleotide transfer RNA is filed under the name Sipunculus nudus (marine worm). Its description in RNAcentral is "tRNA-Thr". It matches the Rfam family "tRNA". Rfam says of the family: Transfer RNA (tRNA) molecules are approximately 80 nucleotides in length. Their secondary structure includes four short double-helical elements and three loops (D, anti-codon, and T loops). The record is from RNAcentral. Lineage: Eukaryota; Metazoa; Annelida; Sipuncula; Golfingiida; Sipunculidae.
GCUUUGAUAGCUUAUACUAAAGCAUUGGUCUUGUAAACCAAAGACUGGCGAUUUCUCCUCAAAGCU